Molecule: long non-coding RNA, 323 nt
Filed under: Trifolium pratense (red clover)
Lineage: Eukaryota; Viridiplantae; Streptophyta; Magnoliopsida; Fabales; Fabaceae
Description: long non-coding RNA (TPRA_LNC009397)
Source: RNAcentral
CAAAUCUCUCUCUUUUCUUUUACUUUUUUAAACAAAUCAAUUACUUUUAUUUGUAUAAAAGCAAAGGAAAAGAAAAUUGAAUCUUUCUGGUCUCUGUAUUUCUUUUCUAUGUCUGGAUUUUUUUACAACUCUGUUAAUUAAUUAUGUAAAAAACAAAGACAAAUCUUAAUCAAUGUAUAAAAGGAAAAAAAAAAUCUUGGCAAAAAAAGAGCGUGAAAAGAUACUGAAAAAUAGGGAAAAAAUGUUUUUUUUUUUUAAAGCUAGAUUCCGAACCGGCCGGUUUUUUAAAACCGCCCCCGGUUCGACGGUUUGAGCGGUUCAGG